Long non-coding RNA from Hibiscus syriacus, 374 nucleotides. RefSeq lists it as uncharacterized. The transcript is spliced from 2 exons. Lineage: Eukaryota; Viridiplantae; Streptophyta; Magnoliopsida; Malvales; Malvaceae. The record is from RefSeq and is a predicted model, not a curated record.
GAGCACACCCGGGGGAUCAAGGAAAGGAAUCAUAGAAACCAGAAACAGCAGAGUGAUCGGUGUUGUUUUCCACAUUAACCUGUUCAACAAAUUCAUAACUUCAGCAACACCAAAUAGAGAAGUUUUAGAAACAAAUGUGCUCAAAGGGGCUUGCAACAUACGACAAUGCUGUCCAGUUCUCUUGUUGCUGCAAGUUGGACCAAAGGAUUUUAUUGAUGGCACUAGGGAUAAUCCAUGCCAUCGCUACACAUGCUCCAAAGAGGCUGAACUGGAGAUCAGUUACCGUAGCAAUUGCAACACCAAUAGAUACAACCGUCAGUGCAAUCACCUGACAGAUUACAUAGGAAGAAUUUCAAGAAAAAGGGGACAAAUAU